RNAcentral lists this ribosomal RNA (253 nucleotides) under uncultured bacterium. RNAcentral describes it as "partial 16S ribosomal RNA". It matches the Rfam family "Bacterial small subunit ribosomal RNA", at positions 524 to 776 of the family's 1533-position model. The record is from RNAcentral.
CACGUAGGGGACGAGCGUUGUCCGGAUUCAUUGGGCGUAAAGCGCGCGUAGGCGGCUCGGAAAGUCGGUCGUGAAAUGCCGGGGCUCAACCCCGGGACUGCGUCCGAUACUCCCGAGCUGGAGGCAGGUAGGGGAGAUCGGAAUUCCUGGUGUAGCGGUGAAAUGCGCAGAUAUCAGGAAGAACACCCGUGGCUAAGGCGGUUCUCUAGUACGGUACUGACGCUGAGACGCGAAAGCGUGGGGAGCGAACAGG